GGCUCAGUGGUCUAGAGGUAUGAUUCCUGCUUCGGGUAACACCAGAAGCCAAGCUUUCAAAUUGCAGGAGGCCCCGGGUUCGAAUCCCGGCUGAGCCC
This is a non-coding RNA of Xylariaceae sp. FL1272, 98 nucleotides long. Lineage: Eukaryota; Fungi; Ascomycota; Sordariomycetes; Xylariales; Xylariaceae. The record is from the annotation of a GenBank genome assembly.